GAUGAACGCUAGCUACAGGCUUAACACAUGCAAGUCGAGGGGCAGCGGGGAGGAUGCUUGCAUUCUCCGCCGGCGACCGGCGCACGGGUGAGUAACGCGUAUCGAACCUGCCUCAUACCCGGGGACAGCCUUGCGAAAGUAAGAUUAAUACCCGGUGUUUUCGCGGUUCCGCAUGGUACUGCGAACAAAGGAUUUAUCGGUAAGCGAUGGGGAUGCGUUCCAUUAGGCAGUUGGCGGGGUAACGGCCCACCAAACCUACGAUGGAUAGGGGUUCUGAGAGGAAGGUCCCCCACAUUGGAACUGAGACACGGUCCAAACUCCUACGGGAGGCAGCAGUGAGGAAUAUUGGUCAAUGGGCGAGAGCCUGAACCAGCCAAGUAGCGUGAAGGAUGACGGCCCUACGGGUUGUAAACUUCUUUUGUGCGGGAAUAAAGGAACCUACGUGUAGGUUUUUGCAUGUACCGUAACGAAUAAGCAUCGGCUAACUCCGUGCCAGCCGCCGCCGUAA
This 508-nucleotide ribosomal RNA is filed under the name uncultured bacterium. Its description in RNAcentral is "partial 16S ribosomal RNA". It matches the Rfam family "Bacterial small subunit ribosomal RNA", at positions 28 to 523 of the family's 1533-position model. The record is from RNAcentral.